AAAUCAUUUUUUAAUUUAUGCAUUUAUUCCCAAUUUAAGAAGACAAAUUUAGCAAAAAAAAUCUGUGCCAGGAACAGUGCUACAGUCCCUGAAGCUCACUGUUUAGUGAAAGAGACAGAUGCAGAAACAAGUAAUUCAAAUGUCAAAAUUGCAACAACAGCAAUAUAUAUACUAUAUUUUUGGGUCACAGGGAAAAGGCAGGUAAAGGAAGGGUUCCUAGAGGAGAAGAUAUGUGGGCCAAGCCUUAAACACUACAUAGGCAUCAGCCACACAAAGGAAACAAAGACGAAGAUGGGGUGGGAUAGUGUUUAGAUGAGAGCAGCAGUUGGAUUUGGGGGACUGUAAAGUAUCGGAUGGGAAGAUAUAAGAGGUAUAAGCGGGAACCAG
Molecule: long non-coding RNA, 387 nt
Filed under: Homo sapiens (human)
Lineage: Eukaryota; Metazoa; Chordata; Mammalia; Primates; Hominidae
Description: non-protein coding lnc-EPC2-1:1
Source: RNAcentral